This 429-nucleotide ribosomal RNA is filed under the name bacterium. Its description in RNAcentral is "partial 16S ribosomal RNA". It matches the Rfam family "Bacterial small subunit ribosomal RNA", at positions 355 to 776 of the family's 1533-position model. The record is from RNAcentral.
UAGGGAAUCCUCUGCAAUGGGGGCAACCCUGACCGAGCAACGCCGCGUGAGUGAAGAAGGUUUUCGGAUCGUAAAGCUCUGUUGUAAGAGAAGAACGUGUGUGAGAGUGGAAAGUUCACACAGUGACGGUAACUUACCAGAAAGGGACGGCUAACUACGUGCCAGCAGCCGCGGUAAUACGUAGGUCCCGAGCGUUGUCCGGAUUUAUUGGGCGUAAAGCGAGCGCAGGCGGUUUAAUAAGUCUGAAGUUAAAGGCAGUGGCUUAACCAUUGUUCGCUUUGGAAACUGUUAAAGUAGAGUGCAGAAGGGGAGAGUGGAGUUCCAUGUGUAGCGGUGAAGUGCGUAGAUAUGAGGAGGAGCACCGGUGGCGAGAGCGGCUCUCUGGUCUGUAACUGACGCUGAGGCGAGAAGGCGUAGAGAGCAAACAGG